GAUGAACGCACAAGACGUGCCUAACACAUGCAAAUCGAAUGAAAACAAUACUUAAUUAAGUAUUGUUUUCAUGGUGAACGGGUGAGUAACACAUAAGAAUCAGCUUUUAGAUAAGGCAUAAAAGAGUAAUAUCUUGGUAAUUCCUUAUAUGCGCAGCAGUGCUUAAAAAGGGGAGUCCCGUCUAAAAACGAGCUUAUGCCUGAUUAGCUAGUUGGCGAGUUAAAAGCUCACCAAGGCGAAGAUCAGUAGCUGGCCUGAGAGGGCGGCCAGCCACAUUGGG
This 280-nucleotide ribosomal RNA is filed under the name Apicomplexa sp. Its description in RNAcentral is "partial small subunit ribosomal RNA". It matches the Rfam family "Bacterial small subunit ribosomal RNA", at positions 28 to 317 of the family's 1533-position model. Lineage: Eukaryota; Apicomplexa. The record is from RNAcentral.